CCUUUAUGGCCUUAUGGGUGUCUU
This 24-nucleotide non-coding RNA is filed under the name Arabidopsis thaliana (thale cress). The record is from RNAcentral. Lineage: Eukaryota; Viridiplantae; Streptophyta; Magnoliopsida; Brassicales; Brassicaceae.